GGUAAGAUGGCUGAGUGAAGCAUUAGACUGUAAAUCUAAAGACAGAGGUUUAUACUCCUCUUUUUACCA
This 69-nucleotide transfer RNA is filed under the name Rusa unicolor (Sambar). RNAcentral describes it as "tRNA-Tyr". It matches the Rfam family "tRNA". Rfam says of the family: Transfer RNA (tRNA) molecules are approximately 80 nucleotides in length. Their secondary structure includes four short double-helical elements and three loops (D, anti-codon, and T loops). Lineage: Eukaryota; Metazoa; Chordata; Mammalia; Artiodactyla; Cervidae. The record is from RNAcentral.